UACAGAGGGGGCAAGCGUUUAUUCGGAAUUAUUGGGCGUAAAGGGCGCGUAGGCGGCAUGGCAAGUGGAUGGUGAAAUCCCUCGGCUUAACCGAGGAACUGCCGUCCAAACUGCUUCGCUUGAGACCGGGAGAGGUGAGUGGAAUUCCCAGUGUAGCGGUGAAAUGCGUAGAUAUUGGGAGGAACACCAGUGGCGAAGGCGGCUCACUGGACCGGUACUGACGCUGAUGCGCGAAAGCGUGGGGAGCAAACGGG
RNAcentral lists this ribosomal RNA (254 nucleotides) under uncultured bacterium. Its description in RNAcentral is "partial 16S ribosomal RNA". It matches the Rfam family "Bacterial small subunit ribosomal RNA", at positions 524 to 776 of the family's 1533-position model. The record is from RNAcentral.